Molecule: non-coding RNA, 114 nt
Filed under: Nitratireductor pacificus pht-3B
Lineage: Bacteria; Pseudomonadati; Pseudomonadota; Alphaproteobacteria; Hyphomicrobiales; Phyllobacteriaceae
Also listed under: 1 other name
Description: Nitratireductor sp. Pht-3B TPP riboswitch aptamer (THI element)
Rfam family: TPP riboswitch aptamer (THI element)
About the family: Vitamin B(1) in its active form thiamin pyrophosphate (TPP) is an essential coenzyme that is synthesised by coupling of pyrimidine and thiazole moieties in bacteria. The previously detected thiamin-regulatory element, thi box was extended, resulting in a new, highly conserved RNA secondary structure, the THI element, which is widely distributed in eubacteria and also occurs in some archaea.
Source: Rfam by way of RNAcentral
GUCGCUCUAACGGGGUGCCGGCAGAUUGCCGGCUGAGAGGCUUGGGGAUGAACCGGCCAACCCGCUGAACCUGAUCCGGUUUGCACCGGCGGAGGGAUUAGACGCUUUCGAAGC